RNAcentral lists this unclassified non-coding RNA (200 nucleotides) under Pleosporales sp. RNAcentral's name for it is "partial internal transcribed spacer 2". Lineage: Eukaryota; Fungi; Ascomycota; Dothideomycetes; Pleosporales. The record is from RNAcentral.
UUAAGUUCAGCGGGUAUCCCUACCUGAUCCGAGGUCAAAGACGGUGAAAGGAGCUUGCUGGAUCGCGGGCCGCCGACAGUGCUUCAAGCGCAAUGUGCUGCACGAGACUGGGGCAAAAAGACACCGCUGCCAAUGAAUUUGGGGCGAGUCCGCCGCGCGGAGGCGGGGACAGACGCCCAACACCAAGCAGAGCUUGAGGG